Molecule: ribosomal RNA, 561 nt
Filed under: Microbotryum major
Lineage: Eukaryota; Fungi; Basidiomycota; Microbotryomycetes; Microbotryales; Microbotryaceae
Description: LSU rRNA
Rfam family: Eukaryotic large subunit ribosomal RNA
Source: RNAcentral
UGCAUAUCAAUAAGCGGAGGAAAAGAAACUAACAAGGAUUCCCCUAGUAACGGCGAGUGAAGCGGGAAAAGCUCAAAUUUGUAAUCUGGCGCCUUGGGCGUCCGAGUUGUAAUCUCGAGAAGUAUUUUCCGCGCUGGACCGCACAUAAGUCUGUUGGAAUACAGCGUCAUAGUGGUGAGAACCCCGUAUAGGGUGCGGAUGCCCAGUGCUUUGUGAUAUACUUUCGAAGAGUCGAGUUGUUUGGGAAUGCAGCUCAAAUUGGGUGGUAAAUUCCAUCUAAAGCUAAAUAUUGGCGAGAGACCGAUAGCGAACAAGUACCGUGAGGGAAAGAUGAAAAGCACUUUGGAAAGAGAGUUAACAGUACGUGAAAUUGUUGGAAGGGAAACGCUUGAAGUCAGACUUGCAUUUUGGAGUUCAGCCGCAAGGUGUAUUCUUCAAUUCGCAGGCCAGCAUCAGUUUUUGGGGGUGGAAAAGCGCGGUUGGAAGGUAGCAGUCUUGGCUGUGUUAUAGCUUUCCGCUGGAUUCACUUUUGGGGACUGAGGAACGCAGUACGCUUUUUGC